RNAcentral lists this long non-coding RNA (224 nucleotides) under Carica papaya (papaya). RNAcentral describes it as "long non-coding RNA (CPAP_LNC012931)". The record is from RNAcentral. Lineage: Eukaryota; Viridiplantae; Streptophyta; Magnoliopsida; Brassicales; Caricaceae.
UGUCAGGUCUCUGGUAUUCUGCCUUAACUCGUUGGCAAGUAAGAUAUCGGGAGACAUUGUUGACAAUGUCCUUCUUCAUUGUAGACCACCAAUAUUGACGCUUUAGGUCCCGAUACAUCUUAGUACUCUUAGGAUAGAUGGACAGUUUAGAGGCAUAAGUGGCCUUGAGAACAUUCGUCUUGACAGCGACAUGGACCAAAAUACGAUCCCAAAAUUUGCACAAU